This is a long non-coding RNA of Betta splendens (Siamese fighting fish), 574 nucleotides long. RefSeq lists it as uncharacterized. The transcript is spliced from 4 exons. NCBI's taxonomy places the organism in Eukaryota, Metazoa, Chordata, Actinopteri, Anabantiformes, Osphronemidae. The record is from RefSeq and is a predicted model, not a curated record.
GUCAUUGUGAGUUCUUAGUCUAAUCGGUUACACAAUCUGACGGCACAUUGUUUAGAGGCCACUCACCUGGUAGGCCCACUUACUGAGGUCAUGGACUGCCCAGAAUAAAAAGAACUGAGCCUAAAGACUUGAUGCAAGAGGAGCCGUACGGGUCCUGAGUGUGGAUCAGCUCUGCAGUGGUGGACGAUGAAAACCCUGUUUCUUCUAGUUCUCCUGGUUCUCUACAUCAGCAGCAUUUCAGCGCUGCAGUGCAACCACUGCGUCCCGGCGUCGGUGGGGGGUCUGUGCUUGGACACGGUGGUCACCUGCCGUAGAGCUGCCCACGUCUGCGGCUUCGCCACCUAUUCCUUUAAUAACAUCUUCUCAUAUUUCAAAAGAUGCAUGGGGAAAUCCGAAAUCAGCCUUCUAAGAGCCAAUCCAAGCUUCAGAGUCCAAACCUGCUCCACUCAUCGUUGCAACUGAGGCAGAGAGGCAAAAACUUUAUGAACAAACAAAACCACCUUGUAUUACUGUAUGUGAUGUGAUGUGAUGACACCUGACUUUCCUAUUUAAUAAAACAUUAUGCUAAGACAAG